CCUACGGGCGGCAGCAGUGAGGAAUAUUGGUCAAUGGGCGGGAGCCUGAACCAGCCAAGUCGCGUGAGGGAUGACGGCCCUAUGGGUUGUAAACCUCUUUUGCCGGGGAGCAAAGUGCCGCACGCGUGCGGGUUGGAGAGUACCCGGAGAAAAAGCAUCGGCUAACUCCGUGGCAGCAGCCGCGGGAAUACGGAGGAUGCGAGCGGUAUCCGGAUUUAUUGGGUUUAAAGGGUGCGUAGGCGGACGCUUAAGUCAGCGGUAAAAUUGCGGGGCUCAACCUCGUCGAGCCGUUGAAACUGGGUGCCUUGAGUGGGCGAGAAGUACGCGGAAUGCGUGGUGUAGCGGUGAAAUGCAUAGAUAUCACGCAGAACUCCGAUUGCGAAGGCAGCAUACCGGCGCUCAACUGACGCUCAUGCACGAAAGUGUGGGUAUCGAACAGGAUUAGAUACCCUUGUAGUC
RNAcentral lists this ribosomal RNA (459 nucleotides) under uncultured bacterium. RNAcentral's name for it is "partial 16S ribosomal RNA". It matches the Rfam family "Bacterial small subunit ribosomal RNA", at positions 338 to 795 of the family's 1533-position model. The record is from RNAcentral.